ACUGUUUUCCUCUGGGGUGCUCCACCCUUUCUUCAUUCUAGAGAGUAAUGGAUCCAAUGCUCACAGCUGCAGCAGUGGAGGCAGGACCUGUGUAUUUCUUUGACCAGAUGAAAACUAGAGUGAAAGAGAGAGACAAGAAGAUACCAGAAGAACUGUCCUCCUAUUUCAGUUUCCUCCCUACAGAUCUUCACCCCAUAAGUUUUACUCCCAGAUUUUUUUCUCCUCAGCCUGAUUAAAGGCAAGAAUCCCAGCUGUACAGGGGAGCAUACAGAAAGGCAUGAAGAUGGUUUCUUAAAUGAUGAUCCAUCAAGAAAAGAAGAAUAUCCAGUUUUGCAUCAGAUAUCUUGUCAUUCCCUGUGUAAAACCACCACUGAAGACGCAAACCCAAAGGUCUCCCAAAUACCUUCAAUCCAACAGGCAGAGGAAGACUCACCACUGAACAUGUUAAGUAACUGUGUGACUGCCAACAUGUUACAGGAACUGGAAGAGAAGUUGCAGUUCUUCACUAGUUAUGAGACUGGUUUCCCUCAGGGACUUGUGAAUAUGCUGACCUGUAAUGGGAGAGAAUUCACUGAGGGGACUGAUUAUAAUAAAUGGUGCCAGAAGUCACUAGCAUGCAAAAGUAUGAGAUCCAGGAGAAGCCRGGCCUUGGAGGAAGCUAAGAAUGAUGUUCCCGGGUCCAAAUGUAUGCAGCAUGAACUCCUGGCCAUCAGAAAAGACCAAUACAAGAGGAGCUUUGCUCUGUCAGCCUGCACUGCAGAGGAAAAAAGAAAUGCUGAGGCAGCAUCAAACRCGCCUCUAGGAAAUAAAGCUCCUGUUGUGCAAAACCAUGCCAGCCAGUCACCUGUCACAAUCAGCUUCUCACUGUCAUCCAGAAUUUGUGAGGAAAGAGGUUGGAUUUGCCAGCCUUCUGACUCAAGUUCUGAAGAUCCUCAGAAGCUGCCUUAUGUGUGGGCCCUGAAGAGACUACAACAAAUUCAAAAACAAAUAAAAGAGCAAGCAUCCAAGCAGAAGGAAGCAGGGUUUGAUAAACCAAUUAUUUUCCGGCAUUAUGGUGAUCACAGAGAAGAAACUUUGCCGAAGACAUGGAAGGGUCAGACUGGCAUGACUGUCACACCAGAGCUGCUGUAUGGCAAACCUCAGACCCCUGUGGCCAAGAAAACAGACUCAGCACAGAGAAAACUGCAUUAUGAGCUGAAUGAUGGCUCAUCUUUGAUUUAAUAUCCU
RNAcentral lists this long non-coding RNA (1227 nucleotides) under Dromaius novaehollandiae (emu). Its description in RNAcentral is "lncRNA (ENSDNVG00000011535.1)". Lineage: Eukaryota; Metazoa; Chordata; Aves; Casuariiformes; Dromaiidae. The record is from RNAcentral.